This 403-nucleotide ribosomal RNA is filed under the name uncultured bacterium. RNAcentral describes it as "partial 16S ribosomal RNA". It matches the Rfam family "Bacterial small subunit ribosomal RNA", at positions 30 to 526 of the family's 1533-position model. The record is from RNAcentral.
AUUGAACGCUGGCGGCAGGCCUAACACAUGCAAGUCGAGCGAGCGGCGGACGGGUGAGUAAUGUAUGGGGACUGCACGAUAGAGGGGGAUAACUACUGGAAACGGUGGCUACUACCGCAUACUCUCGGAUAACACAUAUGGGAUUAGCUAGUAGGUGGGGUAAAGGCGCACCUAGGCGACGAUCUCUAGCUGGUCUGAGAGGGUGAUCGUCCACGCUGGGACUGAGAUGCGUCCCUGACUCCUGCGGAGGCAGCAGUGGGGAAUAUGUCACAUUGGGCGCAAGCCUGAUGCAGCCAUGCCGCGUGUAUGUAGGAGGCCUUAGGGUUGUAAAGUACUUGCAGCGGGGAGGCAUUACCCGCAGAAGAAGCACGGGGUAACUCCGUGCCAGCAGCCGCGGUAAUUC